CCUGCCCAGUGAAAUAUUCAACGGCCGCGGUACCCUAACCGUGCAAAGGUAGCAUAAUCACUUGCCUAUUAAUUGUAGGCUGGAAUGAAAGGACUAACGAAAUAAAAGCUGUCUCUAUAAGCACUAAUAAAAAUUAAUCUCUAAUUGAAGAAGAUUAGAUACAUUCGAAGGACAAGAAGACCCUAUAGAGCUUUAUCCACUUAAAAUACUAGAGCUAUUUUUAAAGAUUCGGUUGGGGCAACCAGGGAAUAAAACAUCCCCAGCCUAAGAAAUAUACUUCUGAGCAUUGACCCUUAAAAAAGAUCAUAAAAUCAAGCUACCUUAGGGAUAACAGGCUAAUCUUAUUAAAGAGUUCUUAUUUAUAGUAAGGUUUGGCACCUCGAUGUUGGCUUAGGGGUACAGUAUAGCGCAAAAGCUUUACACUGAUGGUUUGUUCAACCAAUAACCCCCUACAUGAGCUGAGUUCAGACCGGCGUAAGCCAGGUUAGUUUCUAUCCUCGAAUAUCCAUCUACUUACAGUACGAAAGGACCUAACUAAGAGUAAUAAUUACAUCAAGGAAAAUAUAUAAAACAACCCCACCUACAACAAAUAUAACUACUA
This 601-nucleotide ribosomal RNA is filed under the name Allolobophora dofleini. RNAcentral's name for it is "partial large subunit ribosomal RNA". It matches the Rfam family "Bacterial large subunit ribosomal RNA", at positions 1858 to 2826 of the family's 2925-position model. Lineage: Eukaryota; Metazoa; Annelida; Clitellata; Crassiclitellata; Lumbricidae. The record is from RNAcentral.